Small nuclear RNA from Suncus etruscus (white-toothed pygmy shrew), 104 nucleotides. The record is from RefSeq and is a predicted model, not a curated record. NCBI's taxonomy places the organism in Eukaryota, Metazoa, Chordata, Mammalia, Eulipotyphla, Soricidae.
GUGCUCACUUUGGCAGCAUAUAUACUAAAAUUGGAACAAUACAGAGAUUAGCUUGGCCCCUGCACAAGAAUGACACGCAAAUUUAUGAAGUGUUCCAUAUUAAG